This 65-nucleotide transfer RNA is filed under the name Eusthenes cupreus. RNAcentral describes it as "tRNA-Glu". It matches the Rfam family "tRNA". Rfam says of the family: Transfer RNA (tRNA) molecules are approximately 80 nucleotides in length. The record is from RNAcentral. Lineage: Eukaryota; Metazoa; Arthropoda; Insecta; Hemiptera; Tessaratomidae.
AUUUAUAUAGUUUAUAAGAAAACAUUUCAUUUUCAAUGAAAAAAUAAGAUAUAUCUUUAUAAAUA